CCGUGCUAGACGGGGAGGUAGCGGUGCCCUGUAACCCGCAAUCCGCUAUAGCGGGGUUGAAUUCCUGGUUUGAGGUCUUGUAAUGUGGGGUCUGACGUCUGCACGUAGUGUUGACGGCCGGGUCCUCCGCAAUGGAUACUUGUGAACCCGGUCAGGUCCGGAAGGAAGCAGCCGUAAGCAAGAUUUUCCAUGUGCCGGAGGGCAGCCUAGCCUGAGCCAACGACAGAUGUUCCGCCCGGAUUGCCUGCCCGAGAACAGGUGCACGG
RNAcentral lists this signal recognition particle RNA (266 nucleotides) under Paenibacillus sp. YN15. Its description in RNAcentral is "Bacterial large signal recognition particle RNA". It matches the Rfam family "Bacterial large signal recognition particle RNA". From Rfam's summary of the family: The signal recognition particle (SRP) is a universally conserved ribonucleoprotein involved in the co-translational targeting of proteins to membranes. Archaeal SRP consists of a 7S RNA and homologues of the eukaryotic SRP19 and SRP54 proteins. The record is from Rfam by way of RNAcentral. Lineage: Bacteria; Bacillati; Bacillota; Bacilli; Caryophanales; Paenibacillaceae.